GACGAACGCUGGCGGCGUGCCUAAUACAUGCAAGUAGAACGCUGAAGGAGGAGCUUGCUCUUCUGGAUGAGUUGCGAACGGGUGAGUAACGCGUAGGUAACCUGCCUGGUAGCGGGGGAUAACUAUUGGAAACGAUAGCUAAUACCGCAUAACAGUAGAUGUUGCAUGACAUUUACUUAAAAGGUGCAAUUGCAUCACUACCAGAUGGACCUGCGUUGUAUUAGCUAGUUGGUGGGGUAACGGCUCACCAAGGCGACGAUACAUAGCCGACCUGAGAGGGUGAUCGGCCACACUGAGACUGAGACACGGCCCAGACUCCUACGGGAGGCAGCAGUAGGGAAUCUUCGGCAAUGGACGGAAGUCUGACCGAGCAACGCCGCGGGAGUGAAGAAGGUUUUCGGAUCGUAAAGCUCUGUUGUAAGAGAAGAACGAGUGUGAGAGUGGAAAGUUCACACUGUGACGGUAUCUUACCAGAAAGGGACGGCUAACUACGUG
Molecule: ribosomal RNA, 495 nt
Filed under: uncultured bacterium
Lineage: Bacteria
Description: partial 16S ribosomal RNA
Rfam family: Bacterial small subunit ribosomal RNA
Source: RNAcentral